GCCGGGCGUGGUGACUCAUGCCUGUAAUCCCAGCACUUGGGAGGCUGAGGCGGGUGGAUCACUUGAGGUCAGGAGUUCGAGACCAGCCUAGCCAACAUAGUGAAACCCCGUCUCUA
RNAcentral lists this non-coding RNA (116 nucleotides) under Homo sapiens (human). The record is from Rfam by way of RNAcentral. Lineage: Eukaryota; Metazoa; Chordata; Mammalia; Primates; Hominidae.